RNAcentral lists this ribosomal RNA (605 nucleotides) under uncultured fungus. RNAcentral's name for it is "eukaryotic LSU rRNA". It matches the Rfam family "Eukaryotic large subunit ribosomal RNA", at positions 23 to 641 of the family's 3401-position model. Lineage: Eukaryota; Fungi. The record is from RNAcentral.
ACCCGCUGAACUUAAGCAUAUCAAUAAGCGGAGGAAAAGAAACCAACAGGGAUUGCCCUAGUAACGGCGAGUGAAGCGGCAUCAGCUCAAAUUUGAAAUCUGGCUCUUUUAGGGUCCGAGUUGUAAUUUGCAGAGGGCGCUUUGGCAUAGGCAGCGAUUCAAGUUCCUUGGAACAGGACGUCACAGAGGGUGAGAAUCCCGUACGUGGUCGCUAGCUCUUGCCGUGUAAAGCCCCUUCGACGAGUCGAGUUGUUUGGGAAUGCAGCUCUAAAUGGGAGGUAAAUUUCUUCUAAAGCUAAAUAUUGGCCAGAGACCGAUAGCGCACAAGUAGAGUGAUCGAAAGAUGAAAAGUACUUUGGAAAGAGAGUCAAAAAGCACGUGAAAUUGUUGAAAGGGAAGCGCUUGCAGCCAGACUUGCCUGUAGUUGCUCAUCCGGGCUCUUGCCCGGUGCACUCUUCUGUAGGCAGGCCAGCAUCAGUUUGGGCGGUUGGAUAAAGGUCUCUGUCAUGUACCUCUCUUCGGGGAGGCCUUAUAGGGGAGGCGACAUACAACCAGCCUGGACGGAGGUCCGCGCAUUCGUGCUAGGAUGCUGGCGUAAUGGCUGU